Molecule: long non-coding RNA, 199 nt
Organism: Maniola jurtina (meadow brown)
Lineage: Eukaryota; Metazoa; Arthropoda; Insecta; Lepidoptera; Nymphalidae
Exons: 3
Source: RefSeq, a predicted model, not a curated record
CUUUUGCGUGGGACUUAGGCACUGACCUCUACUACUACUACGCUGGACCUGCGAUUGCCGCUCUGUUUUUGAAGCAACUUGAUUUUCUCCAUUUUGGCGCUGAUAAAAGCAGUGAGCGAUAUGUGAGCCCAAAUGUUUGUGAUGUCUGUCAAUAUAGUGUCAACGCGAAGACCAGUUGAGACGAAGUGUCAAUUUUAAU